RNAcentral lists this long non-coding RNA (274 nucleotides) under Elaeis guineensis (African oil palm). Its description in RNAcentral is "long non-coding RNA (EGUI_LNC075403)". The record is from RNAcentral. Lineage: Eukaryota; Viridiplantae; Streptophyta; Magnoliopsida; Arecales; Arecaceae.
GAGAGAGAAAAAUAAAAAGUAUUUUGUUCUUCUUCUUCCACACUAUCUCCUUCUUGAAAAGCUCUUUUUUCUAAUCUAGAGGUAUCCAUUUGAUCUGAAGAAAGGAGUCUCCAUCAGCCAUCCAGAUCCUUUAUCGCAAGCUAGCACUCUCGGGAAGGAUGAUCUAUUUGGAGCUUCGAGUGGAUCACCUAUAGAGGUCGGACACGCUGUGCAGUUGCUCGACAUCAAGAAGGACCUCCUACCAUAUCCAUUAGCAGUAGUGAUUAUCUAUCCA